Molecule: long non-coding RNA, 1042 nt
Filed under: Parus major (Great Tit)
Lineage: Eukaryota; Metazoa; Chordata; Aves; Passeriformes; Paridae
Description: lncRNA (ENSPMJG00000004090.1)
Source: RNAcentral
UCCUGAAGUUUUUUUUUGGGGCAUCCUGGGGGGGUUCUUUGAGGAUUUUUGGGGGAUCCCUGAGAAUUUUGGGGAGGUUUUGGGGGCUCCUUGAGGAUUUUGGGGGGGAUUUUGAGGGGUUUUUGGCAAUCCCGAGCCUUUGGGGGGUCCUGAAGUUUUUUUUUGGGGCAUCCUGGGGGGGUUCUUUGAGGAUUUUUGGGGGAUCCCUGAGACUUUGAGUGGGGGUCCCUGAGAUUUUUGGGGUCUGAGAAGGAUCUCGGGAUUUUUGGGGUGAUCCACAACCUUUUGGUGUUGGUUCCCAAAUAUUUCUGGGGGUCCUGGAGUUUUUUUUGAGGACCUCUUGAGAUUUUGGGGAGGUCUGGGAAGAAUUCUGGAGUUUUUGGGGGGGAUCCUUGAGAUUUUAGGGGUCCCCAGGGAUUGGAGGAUUCCCAAAAAUUGGGAAUUCCCAGGAAUUGAAUUUGCCAAAAAUUUGGAAUCCCAAAAAAUUUGGGAUCCCCAGGGAUGGACUGAAUUUUUCCAGGAUUGGGGGAUCACAGAGGUUCCCAAAAAUCGGGAAUUUCCAGGAAUUGCGGGGGAGAUCCCCAAAAAUUGGGAAUUCCCAAGGAUCUGGGGUUUUCCAGGACUCCAUGGGGGUUUCUCAGGGAUUGGGAAACUCCCCAAAAAUUUGGUAUUUUUCAGGGAUUGAGGGGAUUUUUUUGGGAUUUCUUAGGAAUCAGAGGGGUCCCAAAAAAUUCGGGUUCUUUGGGAAUUGGGGGAGAUUCCCAAAAAUCAGUGAGGAUUUCUCUGGGGUCAGGGAAUCCAGGGGGGGUUCCCAAAAAUCUGGGAUGGUUCUCCAGGGAUUUGGGGGGUCCCCAAAAUUGGGGGUCCCCGGGUUCUGACCCCACACUCCCCCCCAGCUCCAGCCCUGCUGUCCCUGGCACCUGGCACAGGGAUCCCCGUGGGAAGCGGCGAUGUCAGACAAAGGCGGCAGCAUGGACGGCAGGACAGACAUCGUCAACGGUGAGGGGACAGCUGGGGACACCCAGAGGGACAGGAGGGGGGA